UUUCGACGCGGACGGUAGCUUUGCGCGCGGGUAUUCGACGCGGCCCACUCGCUCGGCGCCUCCGUGCGUCGAGUGGCGCUCGCGUCGACGCCGGUCAGCGACGAAUCUUCGGGCCUCUUUCCGACCCGUCUUGAAACACGGACCAAGGAGUCUAGCGUGCGCGCGAGUCGCGGGGUAUCCGAGCCGUCGUAGUCGUUUCGCGCGGCGAACGCGGCUCGUCACGAUACGAAACCCGUGUACGUACGUUGUGCGAAGGCAUAAUGAAAGUGAAAGGCGGCGCUUCGCGCGUCGCCGGGGGAAGAUAGUGUUCCGAGUUCACGUAUCGCGGUCGCACGUGUACCGCGACCGGACAC
RNAcentral lists this ribosomal RNA (353 nucleotides) under Ceroplastes sinoiae. Its description in RNAcentral is "eukaryotic LSU rRNA". Lineage: Eukaryota; Metazoa; Arthropoda; Insecta; Hemiptera; Coccidae. The record is from RNAcentral.